Molecule: non-coding RNA, 375 nt
Organism: Petromyzon marinus (sea lamprey)
Lineage: Eukaryota; Metazoa; Chordata; Hyperoartia; Petromyzontiformes; Petromyzontidae
Source: RefSeq, a predicted model, not a curated record
UUGUGGUAGGAGAGUGUUAUCGUUCCCCACAAGUGAUGUCAUGUCACCUCCUGCUGCUGCGUGACGUCACGAGAUUAUAGGAAGCUGCUGCUCCGCCCUUACACUGAAAUCCGAGAAGCGACCUGCCCACAACACAACACAAGCUGUCGCUUCCUCUGCAGGAUUGGUCUGAUGGAGCAAAGGCACUCGGCGCGGCUCGGUGCAUAUGGCACGGAUCGUCCUGCACAUUUGAAAUGGCACCAGAGAACCCACACGGGAGAGAAAUCCUUCAAGUGCAGUGUGUGUGGGAAGGCGUUUGCACAGUCAUCAAAUCUUAAUGUACACCAGAGAACCCACACGGGAGAGAAACCCUUCAAGUGCAGUGUGUGUGGGAAG